AGCGAACGCUGGCGGCAGGCUUAACACAUGCAAGUCGAACGGUCCUUCGGGAUAGUGGCGGACGGGUGAGUAACACGUGGGAACGUACCCUUGGGUUCGGAACAACACAGGGAAACUUGUGCUAAUACCGGAUAAGCCCUUCGGGGGAAAGAUUUAUCGCCUUUGGAGCGGCCCGCGUCUGAUUAGCUUGUUGGUGAGGUAAUGGCUCACCAAGGCUACGAUCAGUAGCUGGUCUGAGAGGAUGGCCAGCCACACUGGGACUGAGACACGGCCCAGACUCCUACGGGAGGCAGCAGUGGGGAAUCUUGCGCAAUGGGCGAAAGCCUGACGCAGCCAUGCCGCGUGGAUGAUGAAGGUCUUAGAAUUGUAAAAUCCUUUCACCGGGGACGAUAAUGACGGUACCCGGAGAAGAAGCCCCGGCUAACUUCGUGCCAGCCGCCGCGGUAA
Molecule: ribosomal RNA, 447 nt
Filed under: uncultured bacterium
Lineage: Bacteria
Description: partial 16S ribosomal RNA
Rfam family: Bacterial small subunit ribosomal RNA
Source: RNAcentral